This 399-nucleotide ribosomal RNA is filed under the name uncultured bacterium. Its description in RNAcentral is "partial 16S ribosomal RNA". It matches the Rfam family "Bacterial small subunit ribosomal RNA", at positions 361 to 776 of the family's 1533-position model. The record is from RNAcentral.
AUCUUUCACAAUGGGGGAAACCCUGAUGCAGCGACGCCGCGUGGGCGAAGAAGGCNUUNNGGUCGNANAGCCCUUUUCUGGGUNNNNNGGAAGGACGGUCGCCCAGGCAGAAGUCUCGGCUAACUACGUGACAACAGCCGCGGUAAAACGUAGGAGGCAAGCGUUAUCCGGAGUUACUGGGCGUAAAGCGCGCGCAGGCGGUUAGGAAAGUUGGGUGUGAAAGCUCCCGGCUAAACCGGGAGAGUGCAUUCAAGACUGCCUGGCUAGAGGACGGUAGAGGGGCGCAGAAUUCGGAGUGUAGCGGUGAAAUGUGUAGAGAUCCCGAGGAAUACCAGUGGGGAAGCCGGCGCCCUGGGCCGAACCUGACGCUGAGGCGCGACAGCGUGGGGAGCGAACGGG